Paramuricea clavata is the source of this 249-nucleotide non-coding RNA. Lineage: Eukaryota; Metazoa; Cnidaria; Anthozoa; Malacalcyonacea; Plexauridae. The record is from the annotation of a GenBank genome assembly.
GACGCCGAAUAUCGACGUCAUAAACACCAAAGUUGAGCGUGUUUAUGACGUCGAAUAUCGACGUCAUAAACACCAAAGUUGAUCGUGUUUAUGACGUCGAAUAUCGACGUCAUAAACACCAAAGUUGAUCGUGUUUAUGACGUCGAAUAUCGACAUCAUAAACACCAAAGUUGAUCGUGUUUAUGACGUCGAAUAUCGACGUCAUAAACACCAAAGUUGAUCGUGUUUAUGACGUCGAAUAUCGACGUC